This 45-nucleotide small RNA is filed under the name Sinorhizobium meliloti 2011. Its description in RNAcentral is "putative ncRNA". Lineage: Bacteria; Pseudomonadati; Pseudomonadota; Alphaproteobacteria; Hyphomicrobiales; Rhizobiaceae. The record is from RNAcentral.
GUCACAUUCGGCGAAGUUGACGAAUGACACCUUUAACCGUUGCAC